GAUGAAGAACGUAGCGAAAUGCGAUACGUAAUGUGAAUUGCAAAUUCAGUGAAUCAUCGAGUCUUUGAACGCACAUUGCGCCCCCUGGUAUUCCGGGGGGCAUGCCUGUCCGAGCGUCAUUGCUGCCCUCAAGCACGGCUUGUGUGUUGGGCCCCGUCCUCCGAUCCCGGGGGACGGGCCCGAAAGGCAGCGGCGGCACCGCGUCCGGUCCUCGAGCGUAUGGGGCUUUGUCACCCGCUCUGUAGGCCCGGCCGGCGCUUGCCGAUCAACCCAAAUUUUUAUCCAGGUUGACCUCGGAUCAGGUAGGGACACCCGCUGAACUUAAGCAUAUCAAUAAGCGGAGGA
RNAcentral lists this unclassified non-coding RNA (345 nucleotides) under soil metagenome. RNAcentral describes it as "partial contains 5.8S ribosomal RNA, internal transcribed spacer 2, and large subunit ribosomal RNA". The stretch from base 1 to 119 matches the Rfam family "5.8S ribosomal RNA", at positions 35 to 154 of the family's 154-position model. The record is from RNAcentral.